GUAGUGGCAAGCGUUGUCCGGAAUUAUUGGGCGUAAAGCGCGCGCAGGCGGUUCUUUAAGUCUGAUGUGAAAGCCCACGGCUCAACCGUGGAGGGUCAUUGGAAACUGGAGAACUUGAGUACAGAAGAGGAAAGCGGAAUUCCACGUGUAGCGGUGAAAUGCGUAGAGAUGUGGAGGAACACCAGUGGCGAAGGCGGCUUUCUGGUCUGUAACUGACGCUGAGGCGCGAAAGCGUGGGGAGCAAACAGGAUUAGAUACCCUGGUAGUCCACGCCGUAAACGAUGAGUGCUAAGUGUUAGGGGGGUUUCCGCCCCCCUUAGUGCUGCAGCUAACGCAUUAAGCACUCCGCCUGGGAGUACGGCCGCAAGGCUG
Molecule: ribosomal RNA, 372 nt
Filed under: uncultured organism
Description: partial 16S ribosomal RNA
Rfam family: Bacterial small subunit ribosomal RNA
Source: RNAcentral